Molecule: ribosomal RNA, 801 nt
Filed under: Triticum aestivum (bread wheat)
Lineage: Eukaryota; Viridiplantae; Streptophyta; Magnoliopsida; Poales; Poaceae
Description: partial small subunit ribosomal RNA
Source: RNAcentral
AUGUCUGGAAAUGAUUCUCAGGCUGCAGCUGACAGAAUAAAGGCACAGGCCUUAUCAAAUGCAAAGGGAUUGAGCAGGGCUCAAGCUGAACGUGCAGCGGAAGCUGCUGCUCGCAAUGUCAAUGCCUAUGGGCAGAAGGAAGAGGGACCAAGUCGCUGGCAGGAGAGGAAGGAAGCCAAGAGGCAGAUGUAUCUGAUGAGUACAGAGAAGGCUGUGAGGCUGGGUGUGAGACCAAAUGCUGCACCAGCUUCUGCAACUGCUGGGGGCCAAUGUCAGAAGUGCUUCCAGCCUGGGCACUGGACAUACGAGUGCAAGAAUGAACGGGUCUACAUAUCGCGGCCCUCAAGGACGGAUCAGCUUAAGGACCCCAGGUUGAAGAAGGCGUGGCUGCCGGCACCCUCUCAGUUCGUGAACCCCGAUCUGGAGAAGGAGAUGGAGGAGGAAAGGAAGCUGAUGCGAGAAAAGCUGAAGAAGGAGAAGUCUGAGAAAAGGAAGUCAAGGAGCAAGUCAAAGAGCAAGAGGAAACAUCGCGCGUCGGUGUCUGACUCCGACUCGGACUCUGAAUCAUCGGGGACCGGCUCCGAGUACUCUUCUGAGAGCGGCAGCUCAAGCUACAGCUCCUCGGACUCGGAGGACAAGAAGAAGCGCCGACGCAAGACGACGCAGAAGAAGAGAAGGCACCGGAGGGACAGCACGUCGUCCUCCUCUGGAUCUGAAUCUGAGUCCGAUUCUGAUUCUGAUUCUGACGGCAAGGGCAGCCGGAAGAAGAGCAAGAAGCACGGCGACAAGCGCCGAUCCUGA